GCCUUUGUGGUGUAAUUGAAAGCAUACUCAACCCGUAAUUGUGAAAUCCAGGUUAGAGUCCCAGCAAGGGCA
Molecule: transfer RNA, 72 nt
Filed under: Stegodyphus mimosarum
Lineage: Eukaryota; Metazoa; Arthropoda; Arachnida; Araneae; Eresidae
Rfam family: tRNA
About the family: Transfer RNA (tRNA) molecules are approximately 80 nucleotides in length. Their secondary structure includes four short double-helical elements and three loops (D, anti-codon, and T loops).
Source: Rfam by way of RNAcentral